This 405-nucleotide long non-coding RNA is filed under the name Mytilus galloprovincialis (Mediterranean mussel). The record is from RNAcentral. Lineage: Eukaryota; Metazoa; Mollusca; Bivalvia; Mytilida; Mytilidae.
UGUCUGGCAUACUGUGUCUAAUACGAUUAUGUGUUAAAAUACAUACUAAACUUUCGCCUCAUUUCUUCAUUUUCCUAUUAUGCAUCAGUCUGACUUAAAUCAUUAUCUUUAAAUUGUCAUAAAUGCUACAAAUAAGUAUAGCCAUUCAAAUCUGACAACAAAAGGGUCCUUGCUACUUAGUUCAAAUACUUUUCCGGAUCACAGAUUUAAUGCGUUGGUAACGCCUUUAGCAUUUUUGAAAUAAAGAUGUAAAUCAUAAACGUCAAAAUAGAGUAUAGUGUUGUCACUUUUGUGUCCAAUAGCAUCUUCUAAAUAACGGAAAGGACGGAGAUAUAUAUGUGUUUAGAUUAAAACUGGACAACCAAUGGACAGUUACCUGGUAACUUAUACUGAAUGACUUUAUUC